UCAAGCGAUCGAACGGCUAAGGACGUUCCCGACUUUGAAUAAGAGAUUUUUUGCACGAUCCGACGGCCAGAACUUCAUCAAAACCCAGAUCCAAAGGCUGACAUUUGAUCCAAUUUUGAUUUGGAUUAAAAUGAGGAUAUUCUUGACAGAUCUGGGUGGUUCAAGCUCCAUCCGACGGUCAGAAAUAUUUCUAGGAGGAUUAAUAUGAUUUCUAAAGGUUUUAAGACUCCU
This 231-nucleotide long non-coding RNA is filed under the name Elaeis guineensis (African oil palm). RNAcentral describes it as "long non-coding RNA (EGUI_LNC032522)". Lineage: Eukaryota; Viridiplantae; Streptophyta; Magnoliopsida; Arecales; Arecaceae. The record is from RNAcentral.